This 565-nucleotide long non-coding RNA is filed under the name Helianthus annuus (common sunflower). RNAcentral describes it as "sRNA HanXRQr2_Chr10g0430221". The record is from RNAcentral. Lineage: Eukaryota; Viridiplantae; Streptophyta; Magnoliopsida; Asterales; Asteraceae.
AAAUAAUUAAUCUUCCCCAAAUACAACAAACCCUAAUACCCUAAUCCAACUGAGCAUUGAGCAUUAAACGGCGUCGCAGCAGGCAUCGUCUGUCCAAACAGAUUAUUAUUCACCUGAGUCUUGCCGUAAACGGAUUCGAAAAUCCAAACGUACUAGAACUCUGCUGCUGAAACGGUGUCGUUUACGGCUGUUGUUGUUGAGAGAACUGAGAGGAAAACAGUGAGGUACCGACGCCGGUGGCGAACGACGACGUUGACGGUGUGCCAAAUGCAGGGGUGGAGGACAGAGUGCCGAACAGGGAGGAGGAUGCCGGAGCUCCGAACAUUAUGGCGGAGCACGGCAGAGAGUAUUUAUGAUGUUUGUUUUGAUGUUUGAAGAUGGAGAUGGAGUGUAUUUAUGAUGUUUGUUAGUUCAGAUAUUUUUUUUACACUUUUUGAUUUAGAAUUACAGCUUCUUGUUCGAUCUGUUUAUGCGUUUAUGCUAUUCUAUGUUCAUUUUAAUUGAUAAACAUGAUAGUGAAGAAGGAUGUCAUGAAUUUAAUUUUAGUUUCAGUUUCUCGUUUAUU